AGAACGAACGCUGGCGGCAGGCUUAACACAUGCAAGUCGAACGCACCGCAAGGUGAGUGGCAGACGGGUGAGUAACGCGUGGGAAUCUACCUAGCUCUUCGGAAUAGCUCCGGGAAACUGGAAUUAAUACCGAGUACGCCCUACGGGGGAAAGAUUUAUCGGAGUUAGAUGAGCCCGCGUUGGAUUAGCUAGUUGGUGGGGUAAUGGCCUACCAAGGCGACGAUCCAUAGCUGGUCUGAGAGGAUGAUCAGCCACACUGGGACUGAGACACGGCCCAGACUCCUACGGGAGGCAGCAGUGGGGAAUAUUGGACAAUGGGCGCAAGCCUGAUCCAGCCAUGCCGCGUGAGUGAUGAAGGCCCUAGGUUGUAAAGCUCUUUCAGUGGGGAAGAUAAUGACGUACCCACAGAAGAAGCCCCGGCUAACUUCGCGCCAGCAGCCGC
This 442-nucleotide ribosomal RNA is filed under the name uncultured soil bacterium. Its description in RNAcentral is "bacterial SSU rRNA". It matches the Rfam family "Bacterial small subunit ribosomal RNA", at positions 26 to 518 of the family's 1533-position model. The record is from RNAcentral.